RNAcentral lists this ribosomal RNA (987 nucleotides) under Timandra dichela. RNAcentral's name for it is "partial 16S rRNA". The record is from RNAcentral. Lineage: Eukaryota; Metazoa; Arthropoda; Insecta; Lepidoptera; Geometridae.
AAGGGGCAAAUUAAUUAAUAAAGUUAGUGUAAUAAAAUUAUUUUAAAUAAUUAAUUUGAAAUGAAAUGUUAUUCGUUUUUAAAUAUAUCUAGUUUUUUUAGAAAAAAAUUUAAUUUUAAAUUUAAUAUUAAUUUAAUUAAUUUGAAAAUUAUUUUAAAUAUUAAAUUUUAUAUUUUAGGGGAUAAGCUUUAAAUUAUAUUUUUAUAUAGUUUAUAUUGCAUAUUUGCAAUAUUAAUGUAAAUAGAAUAUUGAAAUUUUUAUAUUUUAUAUUGUUAAUAAAUUUUAAUUUUUAAUAAAUAAUUUCAUGAUUAUAUAAAAUUUAAUAAAAUUUAAAUUAAUUUUUUAUAAAAAAAUUUUUUUUAAUUUUAAUUGUUAAGAUAUAAUGAUAAAAUUAGUAUAUUUAUUAUAAAAUAAAUAUUAUUAUAAUAUUUUUAAUUUAAAUAAUUAAAAGGAAUUCGGCAAAAAUUUAUGUUCACUUGUUUAUCAAAAACAUGUCUUUUUGUGAUUAAUUUAAAGUCUAAUCUGCCCACUGAUAUUUUUAUAUAUUAAAGGGCUGCAGUAUAUUGACUGUACAAAGGUAGCAUAAUCAAUAGUCUUUUAAUUGAUGACUUGUAUGAAGGAUUGGAUGAAAUAUUAACUGUCUCUUAAUUAAUUUAUAGAAUUUAAUUUUUUAGUUAAAAAGCUAAGAUUUUUUAAAAAGACGAGAAGACCCUAUAGAGUUUUAUAUUUAUUCUUAUAAUAAAUUAUUUAUUAAUAUUAUUAUUUUAAUAAAAUAAAAUAUUUUAUUGGGGUGAUAAAAAAAUAUAUAUAACUUUUUUUUUAUUAAUUCAUUAAUAAGUGUAAUAUUGAUCCAGUAUUAUUGAUUAAAAGAUUAAAUUCCCUUAGGGAUAACAGCGUAAUUUUUUUUUUUAGUUCAUAUAAAAAAAAAAGUUUGCGACCUCGAUGUUGGAUUAAGAUAAAAUUUAAAUGCAAAAGUUUAAAAUUUUG